RNAcentral lists this unclassified non-coding RNA (379 nucleotides) under uncultured Bacillaceae bacterium. Its description in RNAcentral is "contains 16S-23S intergenic spacer region". The record is from RNAcentral. Lineage: Bacteria; Bacillati; Bacillota; Bacilli; Caryophanales; Bacillaceae.
UCCGGUUUGUCACCGGCAGUCACCUUAGAGUGCCCAACUUAAUGCUGGCAACUAAGGUUAAGGGUUGCGCUCGUUGCGGGACUUAACCCAACAUCUCACGACACGAGCUGACGACAACCAUGCACCACCUGUCAUCGGUGUCUCAAAAGAGAACCUUCUAUCUCUAGAAGUAGCACCGUGAUGUCAAGUCCUGGUAAGGUUCUUCGCGUUGCUUCGAAUUAAACCACAUGCUCCACUGCUUGUGCGGGCCCCCGUCAAUUCCUUUGAGUUUCAGCCUUGCGGCCGUACUCCCCAGGCGGAGUGCUUAUUGCGUUGACUUCAGCACUAAAGGUAUCGAAACCUCUAACACCUAGCACUCAUCGUUUACGGCGUGGACUAC